CCCGAGUGUGUAAAUUUGCAACGUAUCGAUGUCAACGUUCACAAAAACCAAAACCGGACAAACAUUAGACUACUCAGUUGCGCCCUAACAGUAUAACUUUACAACGAGUACUUUUUCUCCUUCAACCGAACAAAGAGUAAAACCUAAUUAUAUUGUUCCAUUAUGCCCCGAGAGUGUAAAUUUGCAACGUAUCGAUGUCAACGUUCACAAAAACCAAAACCGGACAAAUAUUAGACUACUCAGUUGUGCCCUAACAGUAUAACUUUACAUCGAGUACUUUUUCUCCUUCAACCGAACAAAGAGUAAAACCUAAUUAUAUUGUUCCAUUAUGCCCCGAGAUUGUAAAUUUGCAACGUAUCGACGUCAAUAUUCACAAGAACCAAAAUCGGAAAAAUAUUAGACUACUCAGUUGCUCCCUAACAGUGUAACUUUGCAAGAGUACUUUUUCUCAUUCAAUCAAAUAAAGAGUAAAACCAAAUUAUAUUAUUCUAUUAUGCCCCGAGUGUAUAAAUUUGCAACGUAUCGAUGUCAACGUUCACAAGAACCAAAACCGGAACAACAUUAGACUACUCAGUUACGCCCUAGCAGUAUAACUUUGCAAACAGUGCUUUUUCUCAUUCAAUCGAACAAAGAGAAAAACCCAAUUAUAUUGUUCUAUUAUUCCCCGAGAGUGUAAAUUUGCAACGUAUCAAUGUCAACGUUUACAAGAACCAAAUUCGAGAAAACAUUAGACAACUCAGUUGCUUCCUAACAGUAUAACUUUACAUUGAGUACCAUUUCUAAUUACAUCGUUCUAUUAUGCCGCGAGAGUGUAAAUUUGCAACGUAUCAAUUUCAACGUUCACAAAAACCAAAACCGGACCAACAUUAGACUACUAAGUUGCGCCCUAACAAUAUAACUUUGCAACGAGUACUUUUUCUCCUUCAACUGAACAAAGUGUAAAAUCUAAUUAUAUUGUUCUAUUAUGCCCCGAGAGGGUAAAUUUGCAACGUAUCGAUGUUAUCGUUCAGAAAAAUCAAAAUUGGACCAACAUUAGACUACUAAGUUGCGUCCUAACAGUAUAACUUUGCAACGAGUACUUUUUCUCCUUCUACCGAAGAAAGAGUAAAACCUAAUUAUGUUGUUCCACUAUGCCCCGAGAGUGUAAAUUUGCCACGUAUCGAUGUCAAUGUUCACAAGAACCAAAACCGGAAAAACAUUAGACUACUCAAUUGCUCCAUAACUGUAUAACUUUGCAAUGAGUACUUUUUCUCAUUCAAUCAAACAAAGAUUAAAAUCUAAUUAUAUUAUUCUAUUAUGCCCCGAGUGUGUAAAUUUGCAACGUAUCGAUGUCAACGUUCAUAAAAACCAAAACCGGACAAACAUUAGACUACUCAGUUGCUCCCUAACAGUAUAACUUUGCAAUGAGUACUUUUUCUCAUUCAAUCAAACAAAGAGUAAAACCUAAUUAUAUUAUUCUAUUAUUCCCCGAGUGUGUAAAUUUGCAACGUAUCGAUGUCAACGUUCACAAAAACCAAAACCGGACAAACAUUAGACUACUCAGUUGCGCCCUAACAGUAUAACUUUACAACGAGUACUUUUUCUCCUUCAACCGAACAAAGAGUAAAACCUAAUUAUAUUGUUCCAUUAUGCCCCGAGAGUGUAAAUUUGCAACGUAUCGAUGUCAAUGUUCACAAGAACCAAAAUCGGAAAAAUAUUAGACUACUCAGUUGCUCUAUAACAGUAUAACUUUGCAAUGAGUACUUUUUCUCAUUCAAUCAAACAAAGAGUAAAAC
Molecule: long non-coding RNA, 1775 nt
Filed under: Ananas comosus (pineapple)
Lineage: Eukaryota; Viridiplantae; Streptophyta; Magnoliopsida; Poales; Bromeliaceae
Description: long non-coding RNA (ACOM_LNC040024)
Source: RNAcentral